RNAcentral lists this ribosomal RNA (253 nucleotides) under uncultured bacterium. RNAcentral's name for it is "partial 16S ribosomal RNA". It matches the Rfam family "Bacterial small subunit ribosomal RNA", at positions 524 to 776 of the family's 1533-position model. The record is from RNAcentral.
UACGUAGGGGGCAAGCGUUGUCCGGAUUUAUUGGGCGUAAAGAGCGUGUAGGCGGCCAGGUAGGUCUGGUGUGAAAACUCGAGGCUCAACCUCGAGAGGUCAUCGGAAGCCAUCUGGCUAGAGUCCGGAAGAGGAGAGUGGAAUUCCCGGUGUAGCGGUGAAAUGCGUAGAUAUCAAGUGGAACACCAGUGGCGAAGGCGAAUCCCUGGAAAAUACCUGACACUGAGGCACGAAAGCUAGGGGAGCAAACAGG